GGUCCUUGCUGCUGCCUG
This 18-nucleotide unclassified non-coding RNA is filed under the name Mus musculus (house mouse). RNAcentral's name for it is "oocyte_clustered_small_RNA6706". Lineage: Eukaryota; Metazoa; Chordata; Mammalia; Rodentia; Muridae. The record is from RNAcentral.